This 600-nucleotide long non-coding RNA is filed under the name Lupinus angustifolius (narrow-leaved blue lupine). RNAcentral's name for it is "long non-coding RNA (LANG_LNC003290)". The record is from RNAcentral. Lineage: Eukaryota; Viridiplantae; Streptophyta; Magnoliopsida; Fabales; Fabaceae.
GGGUAUGAUGACUAUAGGUGGUAGUUAAAUGAUAUAACCUUAGGCUUGUUGAUUUGAGGAGAAAACAUCCCUAGGGAGUUUUGGCCCAUUGAAGGGUUUGCUGUAAAUGAAAUUUUGUCCUUAGGGCAUUGAGCCCUUUGAUGGGUAUAUAAUGAAGGUUGGUCGUCUUUGUGACUUCAGAUCAUUAUGGUAUAAUGAUAUUUCUUACAUCACUCGGGCAUAUGAGUUAUCUAACUUUGAAAUGAUAAAUGAUAUGUAUGGAUUAGGAGUGGACAUGAUUUGCUUCCCGUGUCCUAGUUAAGGUACAUUUUAUAUGUAUUUUUGGUACGUCUAUGGAUCAUAACCCUAUUAGGUCUUAUUUAAAGUAGUCUCGAUAAAAGCUCUAAACUUAUAAAGGUCAUCAUAUUGCAUUCAAUCUUAAAAGAAAGGAAACCAAAAAUCAAGGGUUAGUUACAAGAAGAGACUAGCUCCUCAAGCGACUAAUUCAUAUUACAUGGAAAGAAUCUGGAUGGUCCAUCAUGCCAAUACCAUAUGUGACAUGAGGCCACUUACCAGCAAAACAUAUACCUCUUCAAUCUCAAACUUAAUCUCUAAUAUUUG